UACGUAGGGUGCGAGCGUUAUCCGGAUUUACUGGGUUUAAAGGGUGUGUAGGCGGGCUUUUAAGUCAGUGGUGAAAUCUCCGGGCUCAACCUGGAAACUGCCAUUGAUACUAUUAGUCUUGAAUUUUGUUGAGGUAGGCGGAAUAAGUCAUGUAGCGGUGAAAUGCAUAGAUAUGACUUAGAACACCAAUUGCGAAGGCAGCUUGCUAAACAAAUAUUGACGCUGAGGCACGAAAGCGUGGGGAUCAAACAGG
RNAcentral lists this ribosomal RNA (253 nucleotides) under uncultured bacterium. RNAcentral describes it as "partial 16S ribosomal RNA". It matches the Rfam family "Bacterial small subunit ribosomal RNA", at positions 524 to 776 of the family's 1533-position model. The record is from RNAcentral.